GUCAGCAGGAGGGAUCACAGAAUUCCAUUCAGGUCAGCAGGAGGCAUCACAGAAUUCCAUUCAGGUCAGCAGGAGGGAUCACAGAAUUCCAUUCAGGUCAGCAGGAGGGAUCAGCCAAUUAAUUAUACUGCUGCGUGAACAUUCUAACUGUAGGUGGCAGUAAAUCACCAACCUUGUCUCUGUUCCUGUUUAGACUAAACACACUGCAGCACAGUAUGCAGCUACACUUUAGCACAGUAGGUGGUGGUAUGAUCCUAUUCAGUUCAUUUAUGAAGUGUCACUAAACUCAUAGAAGUAAAGAACCCGCAAUGGCUCUGGCCUUGUUGUCACAGAAGUGGC
Long non-coding RNA from Oncorhynchus tshawytscha (Chinook salmon), 339 nucleotides. Lineage: Eukaryota; Metazoa; Chordata; Actinopteri; Salmoniformes; Salmonidae. The record is from Ensembl.